UACGUAGGGUGCGAGCGUUAAUCGGAAUUACUGGGCGUAAAGGGUGUGUAGGCGGUUCUUUAAGUUUGGUGUGAAAUCUCCCGGCUCAACCGGGAGGGUGCGCCGAAUACUGAGGAGCUAGAGUGCGGGAGAGGAAAGUGGAAUUCCUGGUGUAGCGGUGAAAUGCGUAGAUAUCAGGAGGAACACCGGUGGUGUAAACGGCUUUCUGGACCGUAACUGACGCUGAGACACGAAAGCGUGGGUAGCAAACAGG
RNAcentral lists this ribosomal RNA (253 nucleotides) under uncultured bacterium. RNAcentral describes it as "partial 16S ribosomal RNA". It matches the Rfam family "Bacterial small subunit ribosomal RNA", at positions 524 to 776 of the family's 1533-position model. The record is from RNAcentral.